This is a non-coding RNA of Triticum aestivum (bread wheat), 135 nucleotides long. NCBI's taxonomy places the organism in Eukaryota, Viridiplantae, Streptophyta, Magnoliopsida, Poales, Poaceae. The record is from Rfam.
AUCAUACUUCCUUCGUUCGGAAAUACUUGUCAUCAAAUUGAGUUAAAGGGGAUGUAUCUAGAUGUAUUUUAGUUUUAGAUACAUCUCUUUUUGUCCAUUUGGAUGACAAGUAUUUUCGGACGGAGGGAGUACAAA